GGGUCAGUAGGUUGGUCGUGCCACCGGUACGUACUGGUCUCACUGAUUCCUCCUUCCUGAAGAACCGUAAUGCCAUUAAUUUAGUGUUGCGGGGAAACAGGACUGUUACUUUGAAAAAUUAGAGUGUUUAAAGCAAGCUAACGCUUGAAUACAUUAGCAUGGAAUAAUGAAAUAGGACGAUCGAUCCUAUUUUGUUGGUUCCUAGGAUUGACGUA
This 215-nucleotide ribosomal RNA is filed under the name Glomeromycotina sp. RNAcentral describes it as "partial small subunit ribosomal RNA". Lineage: Eukaryota; Fungi; Glomeromycota. The record is from RNAcentral.